GGAUUAGAUACCCUGGUAGUCCAUGCCGUAAACGAUGAUAACUAGCUAUUGGCGAUACACAGUCAGUGGCAAAGCGAAAGCAUUAAGUUAUCCACCUGGGAAGUACGGUCGCAAGAUUGAAACUCAAAGGAAUUGACGGGGGCCCGCACAAGCGGUGGAGCAUGUGGUUUAAUUCGAUGAUACGCGAGGAACCUUACCAGGGCUUAAAUGGGGAUUGACAGGACUGGAAACAGUUUUUUCUUCGGACAAUCUUCAAGGUGCUGCAUGGUUGUCGUCAGCUCGUGCCG
This 287-nucleotide ribosomal RNA is filed under the name uncultured bacterium. Its description in RNAcentral is "partial 16S ribosomal RNA". It matches the Rfam family "Bacterial small subunit ribosomal RNA", at positions 775 to 1067 of the family's 1533-position model. The record is from RNAcentral.